Molecule: ribosomal RNA, 863 nt
Filed under: Plethodontohyla inguinalis (Boulenger's digging frog)
Lineage: Eukaryota; Metazoa; Chordata; Amphibia; Anura; Microhylidae
Description: partial 16S ribosomal RNA
Rfam family: Bacterial large subunit ribosomal RNA
Source: RNAcentral
GCUUUAUCACUAACUAUUAUUAAUCCCAUUAUUUAUACACAACCCGCAACCGCUACUGAAUGAUCCCAUACCCUAUGGGAGACAUUAUGCUAGAACUAGUAACAAGAAGAAGACCUUCUCCAAAAUGUAAAUGUAAGCCAAAAUGAACAACUCACCGGCACCUACCGCCUCAAACCUGCAGUAUCACCACCGCCCCCAAGAAAACCAUACUACACCUGACGUUAACCUUACACCAGAACAUUCCCGGAAAGAUUAAAAAGAGAGGAAGGAACUCGGCAAAUAUUAGCCCCGCCUGUUUACCAAAAACAUCGCCUCUUGAUAACUAUAAGAGGUCCAGCCUGCCCAGUGACUAAAAGUUAAACGGCCGCGGUACCCUAACCGUGCAAAGGUAGCACAAUCACUUGUUCUUUAAAUCAGGACUAGUAUGAACGGCCCCACGAGAGCUAUACUGUCUCCCCCCCUUAAUCAGUGAAACUGAUCUCCCCGUGAAGAAGCGGGGAUAUUCAUAUAAGACGAGAAGACCCCAUGGAGCUUUAAACUUGUACCACUGCCCUAAACCACAUCAAUCAACCGGGCAAAUAAUGGCUACUAGUCUUUCGGCUGGGGCGACCACGGAGAAAAACUAAACCUCCACGAUGAAAGGAACACCCUAAUUAAAGAGCUACAGCUCUAAAAAUCAACAAAUUGACAUAAUUGACCCAAACACCUUGAUCAACGAACCAAGUUACCCUGGGGAUAACAGCGCAAUCCAUUUCAAGAGACCCCAUCGACAAAUGGGCUUACGACCUCGAUGUUGGAUCAGGGUAUCCCAGUGGUGCAGCCGCUACUAAAGGUUCGUUUGUUCAACGAUUAAAACCCUACGU